This 747-nucleotide long non-coding RNA is filed under the name Homo sapiens (human). Its description in RNAcentral is "long non-coding RNA NONHSAT157729". The record is from RNAcentral. Lineage: Eukaryota; Metazoa; Chordata; Mammalia; Primates; Hominidae.
UCCUUUUGUAUAUUUUGGUAUGCAUGGAGAGGUGUUUAUUGCCUGAACAUGGAGCCCAAAUUACCUGCCCCCACCCCCCACACUGGUCAGCACUGGAGCUCUGGUGCCAAGCUGACCUCUGGGAUCAUUUUGUGGAUUCUCAAGGGCUGUGAGGGGAAAACAUUUCAAAUUAGGCAGGAUGCCCAGUAACUAGGAGCACUUGGAAUCUCCAGCCUCACAAACACAACCACGUCUAAAUGAGAUUCAAAGAGAGGAAAAAUUACCCUCCAUGAAUAUCCCUUGAAAUUGCCCAGCAGAGAAUACUCUGGAGCGGCACGUGGAUGCAUCCCGAGUUCUUUGGAAGGAGGAUGUGAAGAGUGCCCAGGCUGGCACCCCCUGGAUAGUAUAGCACAGGCAGUGUGGAGCCUGAUGAAGCACAGGCAGGCGCGAUGUGGACAGCAGCACGGACGUCCGGCCGCCCAAGUGUCCCCUCGCCUUUCAACCGCAAAUCCCACUGUCAAUGCUGCAGACAGACACGGUUCACUCCAUAAGAUCACCCGUGAAAUGGGAGCGCCUGACCACAUGCCUGGAAAUGUGAAAGGAUAAUUCUCACCACUGUGAGCGGCUCCUAGCACUGUUCAUGGGAACCAUUUGCCUGUAAACACAGACGUUAGAACACAUCCUUCUUGGCAUAUGGCAGGGUAUCAAUCAGCAAAUCAGUCAAAAUACAGAAUUCUAAGGAUAAAUGAAUAAGAUCAUGGAGGCUUG